Molecule: ribosomal RNA, 484 nt
Filed under: uncultured bacterium
Lineage: Bacteria
Description: partial 16S ribosomal RNA
Rfam family: Bacterial small subunit ribosomal RNA
Source: RNAcentral
AUUGAACGCUGGCGGCAGGCCUAACACAUGCAAGUCGAGCGGAUGAAGGGAGCUUGCUCCUGGAUUCAGCGGCGGACGGGUGAGUAAUGCCUAGGAAUCUGCCUGGUAGUGGGGGAUAACGUCCGGAAACGGGCGCUAAUACCGCAUACGUCCUGAGGGAGAAAGUGGGGGAUCUUCGGACCUCACGCUAUCAGAUGAGCCUAGGUCGGAUUAGCUAGUUGGUGGGGUAAAGGCCUACCAAGGCGACGAUCCGUAACUGGUCUGAGAGGAUGAUCAGUCACACUGGAACUGAGACACGGUCCAGACUACUACGGGAGGCAGCAGUGGGGAAUAUUGGACAAUGGGCGAAAGCCUGAUCCAGACAUGCCGCGUGUGUGAAGAAGGUCUUCGGAUUUUAAAGCACUUUAAGUUGGGAGGAAGGGCAGUAAGUUAAUACCUUGCUGUGUUGACGUUACCAACAGAAUAAGCACCGGCUAACUUCGUG